UAUAUAGUUAUAUAUUAAAAUACAAUUAAUUAAAUAUUUUAUAAAUAAAAAAAAAAAAAACGUAAAAUCAUUGCUUUUAUACUAAUAUAAAUAUUAUUUUUAUAACUUUUUUAGAAAGUUAGUUAAUAAAUUUUGCAAAAGAAAUAUUUGUAAAAUUAGUUAAAUUUGUGCCAGCAUCUGCGGUUAGACUAAGAAUUUAAUUGGUAUUAUUUAGGAUUUAUAAGGAAGGAAAAUUUAAAGAAUGUUAUUUGGUGAAAUAAUAUGUUGAAAAUUAAUUUAUUUUUUUAAAAAAGUUUAGUUAAAAGUAGGAUUAGAUACCCUGUUAUAGUAUAUUAUGGUUUUCUAAGGAUUAAUGGUAAAUUGAAAAGAUUUGGCGGCUGAGAUAAAUUAAAGGGGUUUGUUUUAUUAUUUGAUAUGACUCAUUAUAUUUUACUUAUUUUAUUUAGUAUAUUGUCAUUUAAAUUAUUUAUAAUUAAUUAAUUAUUAUAAUGUGUUUAAUGAAACUAGAUCAAGGUGCAGAAAUAGAUAAGGCUAAAUUAACUACAAUAAAAUAUUAUUAAACUUGCCUUUUUUAAAAAAUUGAUGUAGGUGGAUUUAAUUGUAAUUAAAGUGUCAUGAAAAUUAUUUUAGUGUACAAAUUGCCCGUCAUUCUCUUUGAGACAAGUCGAAACAAAGUAGGGCUAUCGGAAGUUGGGCCUA
This 699-nucleotide non-coding RNA is filed under the name Pseudoniphargus stocki. The record is from RNAcentral. Lineage: Eukaryota; Metazoa; Arthropoda; Malacostraca; Amphipoda; Allocrangonyctidae.